Molecule: long non-coding RNA, 651 nt
Filed under: Anas platyrhynchos platyrhynchos (common mallard)
Lineage: Eukaryota; Metazoa; Chordata; Aves; Anseriformes; Anatidae
Description: lncRNA (ENSAPLG00000021283.1)
Source: RNAcentral
CUUUACAACUUCAGAAGUCAUCUUUCCUUCAACAAGAUCUAUUCAUUGUCCCUUCUAACGCUUUCUCCAAAAUCAUAAGAUACAUUUGACUUUCCUCUGAUAUACUUAAGAACAGCUAUCUGGCUUCUUUUACUUUACAGAAGCAGAAAGAAGGAAUGAAAAGGAACAGGCUAACAGAAUGGAGACCAGGACGGGAACAGGCACAUUGAUUGCCUCAUGAAGAUAGGGUCGGCUAGACUCAGCAAACCGCUCAAAGCUCGUACUGAAAGUCGCUGGAAACAGGUGCACCGGAGCUGGAGAGAAGCUCAAGCAGAGAGAAGCGCACCCACGCACACAACUGCCCCCUCGCUGCUGUAUCAUGAGGACCUGUUGCUUUCUGUCUGCUUCUACCUAGCAGAGAGUGCCUCUGGACCCCCAAAUGCCGUAGUAUCUUCAGGCUUCUUGGAUGUUUCUGAACAGCAAGAACACUUGUGGAAAUCAUAGUAGCUGGUGGAACUGCUUCAGAAUGACACCUGAAGUCUUUUGAGUCAUCACUGGUGUACUCUUGUUUUCAGAUACUGUGCCCCCCACCCCUGAAACAGAUGUGAAAAUAAGCCCUGAUUUCCAGUAUAUCUUUAUCCAGAAGAAAUAAAGAAUCAGAAUUGAAAAACA